AUUAGCAAUCCAUUUUCCGAGCUACCAACCGGAGUUGGUACUUGCUGACCAAUCAGAAUCCACGUGUGACUUCAACUUUUAACUCGGUGACGUAAUCAUCGGUCACCCACACAAACAGUACCCCGCGAGUAUCUUUGAUGUUUCCCCGCAAGUUACACUACACUGUAAGCGCAACUUAGAACAGUCCGGCGCACACAAUCCCGCGAGCUCUAAACCGCCUUUUUUCUUCAGGUUUCGAAAUCCAUGCCCACCAAAAUCUAACCUCUCAUUCCUCUCCGUUUUGUCUUCGAAGAUCGAUCAAAACCCUAACCCUAGGCGAAAAUUAUCGUCGUCUUCAGUUCAGAUAUGAAAUGAUUGAAGAAUUAUUAUGAUUUGGGGUCAGUAUGAGGGACAUCAAGCAUUUGCCUGAGGCUGUUCGCAGCUCGGUUCGUUCUGGCAUUGUCUUGUUCAACUUGACCAGAAUCGUGGAAGAGCUGAUUUUCAACAGUCUUGAUGCUCGUGCAACCAAGGUAAAAUUUUGAAAUGUAUUUUUAUAAGAUUGUAAAAUGUAUGAAUUUAAAAUCUGAAAACUGAAAUGAAUUUGGAAAAAUCAGAAGUUCCAAAAUAAAAAAAAAAAC
This is a non-coding RNA of Camellia sinensis, 617 nucleotides long. NCBI's taxonomy places the organism in Eukaryota, Viridiplantae, Streptophyta, Magnoliopsida, Ericales, Theaceae. The record is from RefSeq and is a predicted model, not a curated record.